AGAAUAUCGAGCACUUCAAGGCAGACUUCUAUUCGGAAAUGUCUUGAGUAGAGUAGUUGCUUUUAAGAUAGAUUUUCCAACCUUUCGUCUUUUUGUUUCUGUAGUUUUUGUUGUCAGUCUAUCACAGGGUUCUGUCCUUAAUUUCACCAUCCUCGUCUGGUUUCCUUAAUUAGUUUGAGUGAAAUAUGUAUUCAAAUAUUUUCUUUGCAGUAACCAACAAGCCUUGGAAGCCAUAAAUACCAUUAUUUUGAAUGCUUUAUGUUCUCCAAAGUUUAGAAGAAGGAAACCUGAGAAUGAUGUAAGUCUCAAUGUCUCAGUCAAAAAACACGUUGCUUACUUGUUCUUUCAAGUUUCAUAUUGAUGAAUUAUAUUGACCAAACAAUAAUUUCCCUUCGCAAUUUUCCUUUCUAAAGUGUUUGAGCAAUAUGGUGCAGACUUGGAAGGGGAAACUGCUACCUAUUUUCACUCCUCCAACAAAAUUGAGGAAGUUUCACUACUUAAGAUGAGAAUGGUAAAAAAGGGAAUGGGUAUAUAAAAACGAAGAAUAAGUCAAAUGCCUGAAAAUGAACCUGAGACUACGCCAACUAAAGAAGCUCAAGCCAAAGGAAGAGAAGAAAAAUCUCUUUCAUUUUUUGAACAACCUCUGUUGGUUAAGUUAGACAAAAUAUAUAAUUACCAGUUAAAGAAUGAUAAGGAAUAUGAUGAAACAUUUGAAAGCAUUCAUUUAUCUCUUCAGAGCAUUAAAAAAAAACUAGAGAGAUUGAAUUGAGAGUAGUGGUGAAUUUAGUGAAGAAUAGGAUUUCUUCAUGCAUCUUGCAUCUUCUGCAUUUCACUUAAUUAUAUUUUGUACUCAUUAUUAAAAUUUGUCAUAUUCAAGAUAAAUUUGAAUAAGAUUUACUUCAGUUAAGUAAUUUGUGUUUGUAUGACUCUUAUUUCUAUUUAAUUUUAUGCUUAAAGUAUCUAUUUUAAUAUGUUAAAAUGAAAAAUAAUCCAUUAAAUUGAAAAAAAUAAUGAAUUAAAUAGUCAAAUAACAUAUUAAAUAUACUUGUUUUUUUACUUUGUAAUGUUUUUUAAAGUAGAUAAUUAAUUACAUAAUCGAUUAUUUUAAAGAUAGGUUUAUUCUGGAACCACAACUUUUGUUCAGGAUAAUCAAUUACCAUUUAUCAUAAUUGAUUAUUCCAUAAUUUUUUUUGUAUAAAUAUUAUCUUUUUUAUUGCACAUGCUAUCUUUUAUUAUUCUUGUCAUAAUUUCUUUUUGAUAAUGUCCCACGGGGGAGAAUAUAUGUUUGUAUGUUUGAAGAUGUGCAUAUAUAUUUUUGAACUUGUAGUCUUAGUUCUUUGUUGUCUUUUUGCUUGUAUUUUACGUAAGGUUAGGUUUUAUAAUAAGGAGAAAAUACUUAUAAACCUAUUCUUUUUCACAUUAAGUAUAAAUAAGAAAAAAAAUAUAUAUAAGAAAGAAAUACUUACAAACCUAUUAUUUUAAAGAUUUUUUAUUGAAAGUAAUAUACUAAUCUCUUAUAUAAAUUGAUUCAUGUCUCUUUGUUAUAGAAUAUAUACAAGAGUCUCAAUUUUAAUACUUUUUCUCAUUUACUCCAACAUCCAAAAGAUCCAAUACGAUCAAUAAUAAACGGAUCAUGGUUUUGUCUCAAAUUUGUGAGGGACACCUUGUUUGCUUAAUUGGGGUACUGCAAUGAAAGCUUUGAGAUGAUAUUGAUGAAAAAUGUUAUUGAUUUUUUUUUUAAUUUAAUAAGUCAAUUUAUUUAAUUCCUGAGUUAAAUCGAAUUAACAAUUUUUUUAUGGAUUAAAUAUAUUUUUUUUUCUUGUAACACGAAAUUGAUUUUUGUUUUUUUUUUAAAAUUUAAACAAUCCAUGUUACUUAUAUUAUGGAAAUUAUUUGAAUAGAUCUUUUGUACGUGAAUGAUUGUUAUUUUUUUUCAAAAUUCAUUGUUUUAAUUACAUAUUGGUGUCACUAUAACUAUUUUUAGUGGAUUGAUGAAGUAUAAUCUUAAAUUAGAUCAAUUUCACCUACAAAAGGAAAUAUCUCAAUCAUUUUCAUAUUACAUAAAUGAGAUGGAUACGUAUGAUUUAAAAUUUAAAUAAAAAGAAAAUUAAUUCUAUGUUAUAGUAGAAAACUUUUUUAUUUAUUAUAAAAUUAAUUGAAUUAAGCUGAUUCAGUUUGAUGCAUGAGCACUUAUUCAUUAACUUGUCAUUCGGAUAACUCGUGAACUUAUGUCCGGAAAAGUUAACAAAUAAAAACCGUAGCACACGUUUCCAUUUGCAAUUUUAUUUUAUUUUAUUUUAAUUUCUUUUACAAUUGUUAUUUUUUUAUAUCUUUAUAUUAACAAAAAGAAGUUAAGAAACUCAUAUCAGUAUUUUAUAUACUUUUUAUAACUUUUAACAAAUUAAUAGUAGAUAAUAACAAACAUAAAAUAAAAAGAAAAUAAAAUAAAACAAAAAACAAAGGAGCAACUAUGAUAUUUUUAAACUCAACCAAAAUCAGGUAUUCCUGAAAGAUGAAUGGGCAAUUUUUUUAGACUUAAUUAUAUUUCAGUUCUUAAAAUUUGUAAAUCCAAUUUUGACUUUUUAAAGUUAAAAACAUUUUAGUCUUUUAAAUCUAAAAAAAAAUAUUAUUUCAGUCCCUCAGUUAAUAUUUAUAGAAUAAAAAUAUUUUUUUAUAUUAAAAAACUGUUUUUAAUACAUUUUAUAGAUCAAACUAAAUUCACUUCCAAUUUAAAAAAAAUGUUAUCCUGUAUGAAAAAAAAAAUUAACAAAAUAUUAUUUUUCUAAAAAUGCUGAACAAAACAUGAAGCCGUCCAAUUGGUACAAGCAUGUAACUUUACUCUACAAUAAGUGUAUUGAAUUUUAUAUAUAAUAAUUUUUUGUUCUAUUAUUUUAUGAUGAUUUUUUAAUUUUAGUCAAAGUUUUGAACAGAUUAUUCGUAUCAUAUUAACAAUUAAUAACACAAUGUCAUUAAUUAAUUUAUUAACAGAAUUGAUAUUUAACAAUUUUACAUAAAAAAUUACACUGACUCAUAUUUUAAAAGAAUGAACCAAAUUGAGUGGCAUAAAUAAAAAAUAAAUGAUAAUAAAAAAACCCAUUAAACUCAUUAUAUACAAGUCAUCACAUAUUCAAAUCCAAAAUCAUUUUGUAAUAAUAAUUUUUUAACUGAAGAAAAUUGUUGUGGUACUUUUUCUCUCUCCACAACUUCUUGGAAUUUUAACAGAAGAAAAAUCAUUUGGAUUUUUGACUUCUGUUGUAUUCCCUUCCAAGAAAACCAGGACAAAACAUCUGAAAAUUUUUGUUCUUCAGGAAAGAUAUUUGUACUCUACUUGCUGGCCAUUUAAUUAUUUAUUACAACAAGUCUCCAUGUCUGCGCGCUUCCGCAAUUGGUUAAAGACAAAAGUAAUGAAAACUUUCAAUCUUCUUUUUCACGGCUCUAAUAGUUGCGGUAGUUGAUAAAUCCACUUCAGAAUUAAAUAAAAGGGGAAAGAGGAAAUAUGAACAAAAAUCAACGCCGACUCCUUGACCAGUGCUCAAGUCUUCCUCUCAUUUCAGUCCACAGACUAAUAAUCUUAGUCUAAAAAGAUGCAAAUAUCAUACCCCAGGCUAAGCCCAGAUCACCCCCUUUCCAUGGAGAUUCCUAAGCUCCACAUAAUUCAACACUCUCGCUGUAUAGCACUUCUUUUCCUUCUUCAGUUCUCAUCACUGCACUUCCCCUCCCUCGGCUACAACGUCCCAGAUAAGUACUUUAUCAGUUGUGGGUCAGACAACAGUGUUAACGAAAGUGGCAAGGUUUACGCUGCUGAGUCAAAACUUGAUGCCAGUUUUAGCGGCAGUAAUACCGAAAGGAAUCAGUCAUCGGUGCCUUCUCCUCUUUACCAAACAGCAAGGAUUUUUCGAAGGGAAUCUUGGUACAAGUUCAACAUCGAUUUAAAGGGCACCUACCUGCUACGCCUCCAUUUCUUCCCUUUCUCUUCCCCCAGUAAUCUUUCCUCGGCCAGGUUCAACGUUUCAGUUCCUGGUUUCUGGUUGUUGCAAAAUUUUAAUGGUACAAAUGAUACCAAUAGCAACUCGGCUUCAGUUAAAGAAUUUUUCAUGGAAAUCAGUCCCCCCACCUUCAGAGUAACUUUCAGACCUCUGGAAUCAUCGUUUGCGUUUGUGAAUGCCAUAGAACUGUUCGUACUACCCCUCCAUCUGAUAUCUGAUAAGGUGUCGUUUUUCAAACCUAUUGGGGGUACAACUCCUUAUAGCGGAGGUUUGUACUCUCGGGUGUUGGAGACCAAACAUAGGCUUAAUGUUGGUGGUCAACAUACCAAAGAUCUCUUAUUGAGAAACUGGAUUCCAGAUGAUAUUCAUCUAAUGUAUACAGGAAACGCCAAGAAUCGUUCCCCUUACAAUGGUGAAAUCGGGUACCAUGUAGAUGAUGACUCCGAUGGUCCAAACGCAGCUAGAUAUACUGCGCCAACUCAGGUGUACGGAACUGCUAAGGAAACUAACCUCUCUGUCAAUGCCACAGACUUUGGACUUUUCAACAUAACAUGGGCUCUUCCGGUGGACAACAAAACAGAUCAUUUCCUUCGGCUUCACUUCUGUGACUAUUUGAGUUCACAAGGUGGCCUUACAUACUUCGAACUUUCCAUUUAUGACGCCCUUGUCAUGCAGGUAAAUAGUGACGGAAACGUGUCUAACGAGUUGCCUGCCCCUUAUUAUUAUGAUUUCGUGGUGAACUCUGAUGACAAUGGACAUAUUAAGGUCAGCCUAACACCUAAUAGAACCGCUUUAAAUCCAAGUGCAUUUUUAAACGGGCUAGAAAUAAUGAAAGUGAUUGAACCAUCAAAUUCUGUCCCCCCUGACUUGGAAGAAGCCGAUUCCAAUCAUCGUCUUCCUUUGUUGCUGGGUUCAGUUCUCGGUGGUUUAGUCUUGGCUAUUGUUGUAGUGCUACUUGGAUUUCUUUGGCGUUUUAAAAUGAGGAAGGAAAAGCCCGUUGAGAAUUCGGACUGGUUGCCAAUCCCCGUUAAUGCUGGAGGAAGUUCUCACAGCAGAUUGACUGAUAUAACCAGUCACGGGUCUCCCCUUCCCAACAUAAACCUAGGGCUCAAAAUUCCCUUGAUUGAUCUUCAACUUGCAACAAAGAAUUUCCACGAAAGUCAGCUGAUUGGCAAGGGUGGUUUUGGCAACGUCUACAAGGGAGUCCUCAAGAAUGGCAUGACAGUGGCUGUGAAAAGAAGCCAGCCAGGGUCAGGUCAAGGCCUUCCAGAAUUUCAGACAGAGAUUAUGGUUUUGUCCAAGAUUCGCCACAGGCACCUGGUUUCCUUAAUUGGGUAUUGUGAUGAGAGGUUCGAGAUGAUUCUGGUCUAUGAAUACAUGGAAAAAGGAACCCUAAGGGACCAUUUGUAUAACACAAAGUUUCCAACCUUGUCCUGGAAGGUGAGGCUUCAAAUUUGCAUUGAUUCUGCCAGGGGUCUUCAUUACCUUCAUAAAGGAGCAGCUGGGGGAAUCAUUCACCGUGAUGUAAAGUCCACAAACAUAUUGCUUGAUGAGAACCAUGUUGCUAAAGUUGCUGAUUUUGGUCUUUCAAGGUCAGGUCCUCUUGAUACUCAACCGUAUGUCAGCACUGGUGUUAAAGGCACUUUUGGGUAUCUUGAUCCUGAGUAUUUCAGGUCUCAACAGCUGACAGAAAAAUCUGAUGUGUAUUCAUUUGGAGUAGUUCUUUUGGAAGUGUUGUGUGCAAGAGCAGUGAUUGACCCAUCUCUUCCAAGAGAUCAGAUAAACUUGGCGGAAUGGGGAUUGCUUUGCAAAAACAAGGGGACACUCCAAGAGAUCAUCGAUCCUUCCAUCAAGGAUCAAAUUGAUCAAAACUCACUCAGAAAAUUUAGUGAGACGAUAGAAAAAUGCUUGCAAGAAGAUGGUUCUGAUAGGCCAACCAUGGGUGAUGUGUUGUGGGACUUGGAGUAUGCGGUGCAGCUUCAGAGAGGUGCAAAUGCAAUACAGAGAGAGCCGUAUGAGGAUAGUUCUAGCAAUGUUUCUGCAUCAUUUCAACUGCCCAAUGUUCGGCGCCUUCCUUCACUCUCCACACUGAGUGAAGCCGAUGAUACCAUUGUGAGGCAUGAUGAAUCCGAUAGUGCUGUGGAUUACGUUUUCUCCCAGUUGAAGAUUGAUGAUGCCAGAUAGAUUAUUGAGCACUUCAAGGUAGUCAUCUAUUCGCAAAUGUCUUUAGUAGAGUAGCUGCUUUUAAGAUAGAUUUUUCAACCUUUCGUCUUUUUGUUUCUGUAGUUUUUGUUGUGAGUCUAUUGUGAUUUAAAUAGCGUUAUGAAAGCAACUUAAAACCAUUCAUUAUUUGUCAAUUCCUAUGCUAGGAAUAAAUUAUUGAGUAAUAGUUCCAUUUCAUACAACACUUGUUUGCACCAGUGGAUGUACCAUACACUGCGGCUAACCAUGCUAUAUUAAAUACAUACUUUCGUUUUUCAUUAUCCCUUUUCGGGUUUCAAUGGCAUAUAGAUCAGCUUGUACAGGGAGAAGAGAGUGGC
This 6526-nucleotide long non-coding RNA is filed under the name Phaseolus vulgaris (common bean). RNAcentral describes it as "long non-coding RNA (PVUL_LNC004219)". The record is from RNAcentral. Lineage: Eukaryota; Viridiplantae; Streptophyta; Magnoliopsida; Fabales; Fabaceae.